UGAACGAGUUCGCCCUUCGGCCACCGCGCGCGGCGGGCGGGGCGGGGGCACGAGGGGCCUACGGGAGGCAGCAGUGAUGAAUCUUGCGCAAUGGGGGAAACCCUGAUGCAGCGACGCCGCGUGAGACGAUAGAANGNCCUUCGGGGUGUAAANNCUCUUUUGAUCGGGGAAAAUGCAUGAUGAUUUUCCUGCUGAAUA
This 198-nucleotide ribosomal RNA is filed under the name uncultured Alphaproteobacteria bacterium. Its description in RNAcentral is "partial 16S ribosomal RNA". It matches the Rfam family "Bacterial small subunit ribosomal RNA", at positions 301 to 474 of the family's 1533-position model. The record is from RNAcentral. Lineage: Bacteria; Pseudomonadati; Pseudomonadota; Alphaproteobacteria.